This 254-nucleotide ribosomal RNA is filed under the name uncultured bacterium. RNAcentral's name for it is "partial 16S ribosomal RNA". It matches the Rfam family "Bacterial small subunit ribosomal RNA", at positions 524 to 776 of the family's 1533-position model. The record is from RNAcentral.
UACGGGGGGAGCAAGCGUUGUUCGGAUUUACUGGGCGUAAAGGGCGCGUAGGCGGCCACCGCAAGUCGACUGUGAAAUCUCCGGGCUUAACCCGGAAAGGUCAGCCGAUACUGCGGGGCUAGAAUGCAGAAGGGGCAACUGGAAUUCUCGGUGUAGCGGUGAAAUGCGUAGAUAUCGAGAGGAACACCUGCGGCGAAGGCGGGUUGCUGGGCUGACACUGACGCUGAGGCGCGAAAGCUAGGGGAGCGAACGGG